UGGGGGCAAAGGAGAUAUUGUUAAAGAUCUGCUUUAUUUUAGAGAGCAGUUUCUAACUGAUUGCAAACUGAGUUUGCCCAUUACACAAUGGGCUGCAGCAAAGGCCACCAUUCCCUGUAACCACCAAAUGUUCUAACCACUACAGUGACUAACAGGGUGAGGUUCUUUCCUUUUCCUGCCUUGUGAGGAUAAAUGUUCCCUGCUCUCAUAAGUCAUCCCUGUGUUAUGUAUGCAGUUCCAUCCAGGGUUAGCUGGAACCUGGGGAGAAGAAAUGAUGCAAAUAUUUUGUUAGGAGUAAGGCAUUCCACACACAUAUUUCUGUGUGCACAGAAUCUAUGCUGUUCUAGUAUCUUCUUUUUUUCACUUUUCUUUUUUUUUUUUUUUUUUUUUUAGGUGUUGUUAAAACAAUGCCUCUUUUUUGGGCUUGAAAAUACAUGACAUUUAAGUGAAUCACUUGAGAAUCCUAGGUUCUGCCCAGAAUUUGAAGGAUUACAUCAGGCUGGAGAGUGCUGGUUUAUGCUGGGUUAAAGAAACAUAUUGUGAAAAAUAAUUGUGCUUAAAUGACAGAAUAAAGAGAGCUAUAAGAAACCUGUAGUAUUCACAUCCAUUUUAAGAACCUGGACAGACUUCAUUCACAGGAUUUUAGAGAUAUGAUGGACAUCUGUUAUAACAAAUGGCACAAGCAGCAGAGGCUGAAUAGGCACAGCCCAACGUGGUGAUUCCACCAUUCCCUGUCUGCUGAGCUGGGCAGCAGGAGUGGCAGCAUUUCUAUUUAGUGGUUGCAAAUAAACUGGCCAAAGUGAAAAAAAAAAAAAAAAAAAAAAACCAAAGCCAAAGGUAAAAGGGUGAGAUGAAAAUAAGAUACAAAUAGUGAGAAAGAUUGAAUACUGGAGAUUUUGUUUCUUAUUAAUGGAUAUAACAAACCCAAGUAUGUGACAGACUAGAGCAUACCUGAUGCUUAAUGGCAAAUUCAUGUACUUUCCAAAGGCUAGGGAAAGUCACUGUAGAUGCAUAAGACUGUUGCAGUUUUUCCUUUUAAAGCAAUUAAUUUGCACCAUGAAGAAAUGUUAAAACUGGAAAAUUAGAUUUAUACAGAGAAAAGGGUGUCAGUCUAGGGGCUGAAUUUACCGAAGUAUCCUAAAGGGGACAUCUCUGAAACCAACCCCAAAUUUUAUUUAAGUAUUUCUGUCAUGUUAAACUACUUUACAAGGUGUUAUCAUUCAAGGUGUUGGGAACUGAAAUUCACAUAAAAAUGAUGUCAUUUGCAGCAACCCUUAAAGGAAAAAAAAAUGCAAAAAAUUGUUUAAGAGGCAUUUAAUGAGAGUCUAUGUAGCAGAAAUGCAGAUGAUAAUACACUGUAAUUACUACAGGCUUGUCUGAAAUUCUCAAGUGUAAGUAAAACACUGAACAAGGUGUCACAGCAUAGAGAAAGUAUCACAAGGCAAGCUCAGGAGUAAUUUUACAGUGCAUUAAUCAUCAUCUUCCAUUUAGGAACAGAGCUUUCCUCCUCAGAGCUUUACACAGAAUGACACUGUUGCCUGUAAAUGUGACUUUUUGGAACCACUACAGGUAGGAAAAAUAAAUGUGCAGACACUUAAAUGCUGUUCUUACUGUCCCUAAUCAUGAGAUCAUCUGAUAGUACCGAAUUAUCAAUUCUUUUUUAAUUUUUCAAAUUAGUCUAGCACACUUUUUUAAGUUGACAACAUGGCAUUUAUCCAAUGUAAUGUGAUGUUUUCAGUGCAACAUGAACAUUCAUUCAUUUCAGUGAGAGUUGUCACUGCAAGGACUCUUUCAGCAGCACCCCAAUAAAGGAGUGGUCAAAUAUUACUCAGAGAAAGGUGCAGCAGGCCAGGCCAAGCCAAGCCUUCUAAGCACAGCUGUCUGAUCUUCCAAGAAAUGCCCUGUCUGCAAAAGAAAAGAUCACAGAUGCUUCCCAGGAAGGAAACCUUCCUCCCACUGCAGUUCCAGGGUUUUGAGAGGGAAGGAAUGAGAAGGGGGGCAGGAGAAGCAUUCAGGAUCCAUAGGAUAUAAGGUACUUCAGCCUCCAAAAAGCCAUAAUCUGUCCCUUGAUUCCAGUCUCUCAAUUCAUAUCUGUAACUUCCAUCAGCAAAAUUUUGAAAUACUUGCAGUAAGAUCUUUUCCACAUUUGGUUAUUAAAUUAAUUGACAAAAAAAUUCCAAAUCGCACCAGAUGUUUCCUCAACAUGCAGUGGGUGUUUCUGAAAGGGGACAUCAACUUGCUGUACCUUGAUUUAUAGAAUUGUUUUCAUUAACACUGUGCUUCAACACAAUGAAUACAUUUAUGGUUGGUCCACAUUAAACAGACUUCAGAAAUUAUAUUGCUACAUGAACUGUGCAAAAGAAAAUACGCAUUUCUACCUUCUGUUCUUCACCAAAAAUCCAAAAUCAAAUUAUUUAAAUGCUUUAAUAAAUGCAAGCAGGCAUUUAAUUCUAGGCAAUUCAAAAUCUAUACAGCAAAAGGCCUUGCAAAUCAUCACAUAAGGUACUUCAGACCAACAUUUACAUAACUGUUCACAAACUGUUUAUUGUUUACAGAAAUAACCUUUUGCCAUAGACAACUUGCUCACAGCUAAAAGUCAGCUGAAGGGGACUAUCUUAAUUUGUCUGGGUUGCUUUUUCUAUUAGUAUUGCCUUUCUUUUUAUUAAUAAAACAGAGCUUUCCUGGCAAUUCCUACUUUUAUAAUUUAUAAGACCCAUAGUCUGGUAGUCUUAAAUAGCUAUCCAGGGGUUUAAAUAAAAGGAAAAUGAUCUCUGUGCCACUGAAACAACACAAAUUUGUGGUCUGUGAUACAGAUUUAUUGAUUGGGAACUCUCUCAAAGCUAGAACAUGCAUAACAUUUCAUUUUGCUAACUAGAGUUAAUAACCAAGAUUAAAAUAAUCAAAAUUAAUAAUACAAAUAAUUAGCUAGAUUUAAAAUCAUUUAGGAGAACAAAUUCCAAGUUGUUUGAUCCUAGGUUAAACACGAAUCUGUGAUGUCACACAGGCCAAACACACCACAAUUGUGAAACCUUUCAUGGCUCUGAUUUUUUCCUCCUAGCACGAUGCAUUGGCUUCCCUGGGAAGUGCAGCGCUGAGCGUGAUGUUCCGUCCCUGGGAGUGAGGAAGUGUUCUGAUUGACUGAUGAGCAUUUUAAUGUGGCAUUUUAAUCUAGUUAAACCACAGGGCUCAGGCAGAGCAGAUGUUCAGUGUAUGCCUGAACUGACAGCCCUAUCUCCUUUCAGCAAAAACACAGACACUUUUAUUCCACUCCCAGAAGCUCGAAAUAGGAUUUGAGGACACACUGACCCAGGUUGCAGCUAGGACAUGACUGCACUCCUAGAAGCAAUUAGAUACAGUUUUCCUCAUCUGGGCUUUGAAAAAAUCCCAAUGCAGGCAUUUUGUCAUAAACAAACAUCUGGUCAUGUCUCAGUAACAAAGAAAGAUAAAGUGUUUUUGACAGAACUUUGCCCUCUGGUCAAACUUUGCUUUUCACCGGUGUCUUUCAUUUAUUCCUUUUUGAAGACUAUUUGCACAGGCCUCUAACAGGAUGUCAAUAAGCAGAUUCACUGAUAUGGAGAAAAGUGAUUCAAUAUUCUGAGUAUAGUUUUUAGAGCAAAGAAGGAAAAUUGAGAACCUGUAAUAAACAAAAAAAAACCCCAACAUAAUCAAAUAUACCAGAUCAAAGCUAAUACAAUGUAGUGACAAGAGUUUUUUGGCUGCUUUCAGUGAGAUCUAAACACAGACAUUUUCU
Molecule: long non-coding RNA, 3751 nt
Filed under: Taeniopygia guttata (zebra finch)
Lineage: Eukaryota; Metazoa; Chordata; Aves; Passeriformes; Estrildidae
Description: lncRNA (ENSTGUG00000023640.1)
Source: RNAcentral